ACUCAAAUGAAUUGACGGGGGCCCGCACAAGCGGUGGAGCAUGUGGAUUAAUUCGUCAUUAACCGAAGAACCUUACCAGGGUUUGACAUCCCCGGACAGGCGGUGAAAGCCGUUUUUCUCUUGGGAAACCAGGGGACUGGGAGACAGGUGUUGCAUGGCUGUCGUCAGCUCGUGUCGUGAGAUGUUGGGUUAAGUCCCGCAACGAGCGCAACCCUCACUGCCGGUUGCCAGCAUGAAAGAUGGGCACUUUGGCAGAACUGCCCCGGCAACGGGGAGGAAGGUGGGGAUGACGUCAAGUCGGCAUGGCCCGUAUAUCCUGGGCUUCACACAUGCUACAAUGGGGAGGACAGAGGGCAGCAAGACCGCGAGGUGGAGCUAAUCCCACAAACCUUUCCUCAGUUCGGAUUGCAGGCUGCAACUCGCCUGCAUGAAGUCGGAAUCGCUAGUAACCGCCGGUCAGCAAAACGGCGGUGAAUACGUACCCGGGCCUUGCACACACCGCCCGU
Molecule: ribosomal RNA, 506 nt
Filed under: uncultured bacterium
Lineage: Bacteria
Description: partial 16S ribosomal RNA
Rfam family: Bacterial small subunit ribosomal RNA
Source: RNAcentral